AGCGAACGCUGGCGGCAGGCCUAACACAUGCAAGUCGAACGAACUCUUCGGAGUUAGUGGCGGACGGGUGAGUAACACGUGGGGACGUGCCUUUAGGUUCGGAAUAACUCAGGGAAACUUGUGCUAAUACCGAAUGUGCCCUUCGGGGGAAAGAUUUAUCGCCUUUAGAGCGGCCCGCGUCUGAUUAGCUAGUUGGUGAGGUAAAGGCCCACCAAGGCGACGAUCAGUAGCUGGUCUGAGAGGAUGAUCAGCCACAUUGGGACUGAGACACGGCCCAAACUCCUACGGGAGGCAGCAGUGGGGAAUCUUGCGCAAUGGGCGAAAGCCUGACGCAGCCAUGCCGCGUGAAUGAUGAAGGUCUUAGGAUUGUAAAAUUCUUUCACCGGGGACGAUAAUGACGGUACCCGGAGAAGAAGCCCCGGCUAACUUCGUGCCAGCAGCCGCGGUAA
This 449-nucleotide ribosomal RNA is filed under the name uncultured bacterium. RNAcentral describes it as "partial 16S ribosomal RNA". It matches the Rfam family "Bacterial small subunit ribosomal RNA", at positions 29 to 523 of the family's 1533-position model. The record is from RNAcentral.